UCCAGGGUAGCCAAGUGGAACGGCGGCCGACUGUUAAUCGGCAGAUCGCAGGUUCGAUCCCUGCCCCUGGAGCCA
Molecule: transfer RNA, 75 nt
Filed under: Myxococcales bacterium
Lineage: Bacteria; Pseudomonadati; Myxococcota; Myxococcia; Myxococcales
Description: tRNA-Asn
Rfam family: tRNA
About the family: Transfer RNA (tRNA) molecules are approximately 80 nucleotides in length. Their secondary structure includes four short double-helical elements and three loops (D, anti-codon, and T loops).
Source: RNAcentral